Molecule: ribosomal RNA, 73 nt
Filed under: Jatropha curcas
Lineage: Eukaryota; Viridiplantae; Streptophyta; Magnoliopsida; Malpighiales; Euphorbiaceae
Description: 5.8S ribosomal RNA
Rfam family: 5.8S ribosomal RNA
About the family: 5.8S ribosomal RNA (5.8S rRNA) is a component of the large subunit of the eukaryotic ribosome.
Source: Rfam by way of RNAcentral
CAGUGAAUCAUCGAAUCUUUGAACGCACAUUGCGCUCCCUGGCAUUCCGGGGAGCACGCCUGUCCGAGCGCCG